CAGUCGAACGGAGAAUUUUAUUUCGGUAGAAUUCUUAGUGGCGAACGGGUGAGCAACGCGUAGGCAACCUGCCCUUUAGACGGGGACAACAUUCCGAAAGGAGUGCUAAUACCGGAUGUGAUCAUCGUGCCGCAUGGCAGGAUGAAGAAAGAUGGCCUCUACAAGUAAGCUAUCGCUAAAGGAUGGGCCUGCGUCUGAUUAGCUAGUUGGUAGUGUAACGGACUACCAAGGCGAUGAUCAGUAGCCGGUCUGAGAGGAUGAACGGCCACAUUGGGACUGAGACACGGCCCAAACUCCUACGGGAGGCAGCAGUGGGGAAUCUUCCGCAAUGGACGAAAGUCUGACGGAGCAACGCCGCGUGAGUGAUGAAGGAUUUCGGUCUGUAAAACUCUGUUGUCUAUGACGAACGUGCAGUGUGUGAACAAUGCGUUGCAAUGACGGUAGUAAACGAGGAAGCCACGGCUAACUACGUGCCAGCAGCCGCGGUAAUACGUAGGUGGCGAGCGUUGUCCGGAAUUAUUGGGCGUAAAGAGCAUGUAGGCGGCUUAAUAAGUCGAGCGUGAAAAUGCGGGGCUCAACCCCGUAUGGCGCUGGAAACUGUUAGGCUUGAGUGCAGGAGAGGAAAGGGGAAUUCCCAGUGUAGCGGUGAAAUGCGUAGAUAUUGGGAGGAACACCAGUGGCGAAGGCGCCUUUCUGGACU
RNAcentral lists this ribosomal RNA (700 nucleotides) under uncultured bacterium. RNAcentral describes it as "bacterial SSU rRNA". It matches the Rfam family "Bacterial small subunit ribosomal RNA", at positions 59 to 735 of the family's 1533-position model. The record is from RNAcentral.